Capra hircus (goat) is the source of this 107-nucleotide small nuclear RNA. Lineage: Eukaryota; Metazoa; Chordata; Mammalia; Artiodactyla; Bovidae. The record is from Ensembl.
GUGCCCACUUUAGCGACACAUAUACUAAAAUUGGAAUGAUACAGAGAACAUUUGCACGGCCUCAGUGCAAGGAUGACACACACGUUCGUGAAGCAUUCCAAAUUAUU